Long non-coding RNA from Cryptomeria japonica (Japanese cedar), 1159 nucleotides. RefSeq lists it as uncharacterized. The transcript is spliced from 5 exons. Lineage: Eukaryota; Viridiplantae; Streptophyta; Pinopsida; Cupressales; Cupressaceae. The record is from RefSeq and is a predicted model, not a curated record.
CGGCAUUGAAAGAAUGUUUGAAAAGGUGUAAUGAAAACCUACAACGGUAAUGGAGCGGGGAAAACCACAUUUGGAAUGUUCUUAAGCUGUGUGCCUUUGCCCUGUUCAACGAUUAAAUCAAGGUUUUUACAGGCCGAUCAAUGAUGAAUUCAAGGUUUUUACAGGCUGAUCUAGGCCGAUCCAGCGGAAAGUAAAUCCUCAGGUUUCUCUUCUCUGACUUCUUCAGCCAUAUGGAGAUUCGAACAUGUGACUUAAGGUUCAAACCCUGGAAUUAAAAUUUUUUUUCAGAUUCUGGCUGGUAAAAGAUGAAGAAGCAAAACAGGGGAUCAGAAAAUAGCAACCAAAUGAAAUCAAAUUCCCUAUAGCCCUUUCUGCGCCUUCCAUUACAAAGAAGAUUGUAAUUGAAUUAACACUAUAUGCCACAUUUGGAAUGUUGUUAAGUUGUGUGCCUUUGCCCUGUUCAACGAUGAAUUCUUUGGAAGGAUCAAAGGUUUUUACAGGAUUUCUCCUCUGAAUUCUUCAGCCAUAUGGAGAUUCGAACCUGUGACUUAAGGUUCAAACGCUGGAAUUAAAUACCUCUUAUAGCUUCGUUCAACGAAUCCGCAUCAAAUAUGGACAUACAUGUUCGAAUUCAAAAUUUUUUUUCACAUUCUGGCUGAUAAAAGAUGAAGAGGCAAAACGGAGAAUCAGAAAAUAGCAAUCAAAUGAGAUCAAAUUCCCUCUUUUAGUUUUUCACAUUCUGGCUGGUAAAAGAUGAAGAGGCAAAACAGAGGAUCAGAAAAUAACAACCAAAUGAGAUCAAAUUCCCUCUUCUAGCUGCAGGUUCACAGUCCACACUUCACAAACACACGACAUUUUGGCACCCACCGUGGGGUCGGAAUCAUCCUUUUUGGCCUCUCAAGCUUCAACAUACUUAAUCUCUGUCGGGUCUGAAUUAGAAUGUCAUACGAACUCAUUUUUGGCCUAGUACAACAUACUUUGUGAGUUGAAGUGACAAGAGAUCUUGUAUUGUACGAACCUUCAAGAAAAUUUUAAUGUUGUACUAUCUCUCAUCUUGACUCAUAUGAGCUCUUGUCCUAACUCGUAUGGUCUCAGAAAGAUACUAGCACAAGUGGGUAAUGUGUGUCAUAUGAUACUCUGCUACUAUGGUUUUUUUUAA